UAGAGUUUGAUCCUGGCUCAGAUUGAACGCUGGCGGCAUGCCUAACACAUGCAAGUCGAACGGUAACAGGUCUUCGGAUGCUGACGAGUGGCGGACGGGUGAGUAAUGCGUAGGAAUCUGUCUUUUAGUGGGGGACAACCCAGGGAAACUUGGGCUAAUACCGCAUGAGCCCUGAGGGGGAAAGCGGGGGAUCUUCGGACCUCGCGCUAAGGGAAGAGCCUACGUCUGAUUAGCUAGUUGGUAGGGUAAAGGCCUACCAAGGCGACGAUCAGUAGCUGGUCUGAGAGGACGACCAGCCACACUGGGACUGAGACACGGCCCAGACUCCUACGGGAGGCAGCAGUGGGGAAUUUUUCGCAAUGGGGGCAACCCUGACGAAGCAAUGCCGCGUGGAUGAAGAAGGCCUUCGGGUUGUAAAGUCCUUUACGUGGGGGACGAAAAGGCGGGUCCUAAUACGAUACUGCUGUUGACCGUAACCCCA
RNAcentral lists this ribosomal RNA (481 nucleotides) under Acidithiobacillus ferrooxidans. RNAcentral describes it as "bacterial SSU rRNA". It matches the Rfam family "Bacterial small subunit ribosomal RNA", at positions 1 to 482 of the family's 1533-position model. The record is from RNAcentral. Lineage: Bacteria; Pseudomonadati; Pseudomonadota; Acidithiobacillia; Acidithiobacillales; Acidithiobacillaceae.